GUGCCAGCAGCCGCGGUAAUAUAGAGGGUGCGAGCGUUAAUCGGAUUUACUGGGCGUAAAGCGUGAGUAGGCGGCUGAUUAAGUCGGAUGUGAAAUCCCUGAGCUUAACUUAGGAAUUGCAUUCGAUACUGGUCAGCUAGAGUAUGGGAGAGGAUGGUAGAAUUCCAGGUGUAGCGGUGAAAUGCGUAGAGAUCUGGAGGAAUACCGAUGGCGAAGGCAGCCAUCUGGCCUAAUACUGACGCUGAGGUACGAAAGCAUGGGGAGCAAACAGGAUUAGAUACCCUGGUAGUCCAUGCCGUAAACGAUGUCUACGAGCCGUAGAGACCAUUGAGGCUUUAGUGGCGCAGCUAACGCGAUAAGUAGACGGCGUGGGGAGUACGGUCGCAAGACUAAAACUCAAAUGAAUGGGCGCGCGCCCGCACAAGCGGUGGAGCAUGUUGUUUAAUUCGAUGCAACGCAAAAGAACCUUACCUGGCCUUGACAUACUAGAAACUUUCGAGAGAUGGGAUUGGUGCAUACGAGAAUCUAGAUACAGGUGCUGCAUGGCUGUCGUCAGCUCGUGUCGUGAGAUGUUGGGAUAAGUCCACGCACGAGCGCUAUCUCUUUUUCUUUACUUGCCAGCAUUUCGGAUGGAAACUUUAAGGGAUACUGCCAGUGACAAGCUGGAGGGAGGGCGGGGGACGACGUCAAGUCAUCAUGGCUCUUUACGGCCAGGGCUACACACGUGCUUACGAUGGGUCGGGUACAAAGGGUUGCUACCUAGCGAUAGGGAUGCUAAUCUCAAAAAGCCGGAUCGGUAGUCCGGAUUUGGAAGUCUGGCACUCGACUCCAUGAAGUCGGAAUCGGCUAGUAAUCCGCGGAAUCAAGAAUGGCGGCGGAUGAUAACCUUUCGCGGGACCUUGGCACUCACUGC
This 913-nucleotide ribosomal RNA is filed under the name uncultured bacterium. RNAcentral describes it as "bacterial SSU rRNA". It matches the Rfam family "Bacterial small subunit ribosomal RNA", at positions 505 to 1393 of the family's 1533-position model. The record is from RNAcentral.